RNAcentral lists this ribosomal RNA (849 nucleotides) under uncultured archaeon. RNAcentral's name for it is "bacterial SSU rRNA". It matches the Rfam family "Archaeal small subunit ribosomal RNA", at positions 23 to 877 of the family's 1478-position model. The record is from RNAcentral.
GCUACUGCUAUUGGGAUUCGACUAAGCCAUGCGAGUCGAGAGGGUUCGGCCCUCGGCUGACUGCUCAGUAACACGUGGAUAAUCUGCCCUUAGGUGGAGGAUAAUCUCGGGAAACUGAGAAUAAUACUCCAUAGAUCUAGGAUGCUGGAAUGCACUUAGAUUUAAAGUUCCGGCGCCUAAGGAUGAGUCUGCGGACUAUCAGGUUGUAGUCAGGGUAAUGACCUGACUAGCCUACGACGGAUACGGGUUGUGAGAGCAAUAACCCGGAGAUGAUAUCUGAGACACGAUAUCAGGCCCUACGGGGCGCAGCAGGCGCGAAAACUUCACAAUGCGCGAAAGUGCGAUGAGGGAAUCCCAAGUGCUUGCACGUAAGUGUAAGCUGUUUCUAUGUUUAAAAUGCAUAGAGAGUAAGGGCUGGGUAAGACGGGUGCCAGCCGCCGCGGUAAUACCUGCAGCUCAAGUGGUAGCCGCUAUUAUUGGGCCUAAAACGUUCGUAGCCUGUUUAAUAAAUGCCUGGGUAAAUCGUAUGGCUUAACCAUACGAAUUCCGGGUAGACUGUUAAACUUGAGACCGGGAGAAGCCGGAGGUACUCCUGGGGUAGAGGUGAAAUUCUGUAAUCCUAGGGGGACCACCAGUGGCGAAGGCGUCCGGCUAGAACGGGUCUGACGGUGGGGGACGAAGCCCUGGGGCGCAAACCGGAUUAGAUAUCCGGGUAGUCCAGGGUGUAAACGCUGCUUGCUUGAUGUUAGUUGGGCUCCGAGCCCAAUUAGUGUCGGAGAGAAGUUGUUAAGCAAGCUGCCUGGGAAGUACGGUCGCAAGACUGAAACUUAAAGGAAUUGGCGGGGGAGC